CAGCUGCUACUAGUGCCGUGAACCAUUGCACAUAACUAAACAGUGCAUGAUAGAUUUGACAUAUUGAAGACAUGCUGGACAAAUAUCACUUUGGAGAACAUUUUUAGAGAGUAAAUUUUCACCGGUAGGUAAAACUCCUUUCAGUGCCCGCCAAGCAAAAUUUAAGACCUUUGGUGGCAUUUUUAAGGUCCAGAGUUUCUUCCAAGUGUUA
This 211-nucleotide long non-coding RNA is filed under the name Nicotiana benthamiana. RNAcentral's name for it is "long non-coding RNA (NBEN_LNC012218)". Lineage: Eukaryota; Viridiplantae; Streptophyta; Magnoliopsida; Solanales; Solanaceae. The record is from RNAcentral.